Long non-coding RNA from Telopea speciosissima, 507 nucleotides. RefSeq lists it as uncharacterized. The record is from RefSeq and is a predicted model, not a curated record. The transcript is spliced from 4 exons. Lineage: Eukaryota; Viridiplantae; Streptophyta; Magnoliopsida; Proteales; Proteaceae.
CAACUUGUUUGGAAUUACAGAACAUCCCAGAAGGUGAUUGGCAUUGUCCAUAUUGCAAAGAUAAAUUUGGCUCUGGCAGAAAAGCACCUACUAGGGAUUCUUCAACCACUAUGAAGCCAAUUACGAUUAGGUUGACAAGAGUUGUCGGGGCACCAGCAAUCCAAAUAGGUGGUUGUGCUGUUUGCAGGGCCCAUGACUUCAUUGACAAAACAUUUGAUGAGUGAACAGUUUUGCUCUGUGACCAAUGUGAGAAAGAGUUCCAUGUUGUGUGUUUGAGGGAAUGUGGACUGUGUGAUUCGAAAGAAAUUCCCAAAGGCAAGUGGUUUUGCUGUGAGGACUGCAAUAGGAUCCAUUGCGCUUCCACAGAACUUAAUUCUCCGUGGAGCAGAGAUGAUUCCAAGUUCAGUUUCAGGUGUGAUAAAGAGGAAGCUCAUAGAGAAAGGCCUAGUUGAUGCAACCGAAGAUAAUGUGCAUUGGCAACUCAUAAGCGGGAAAGACGACUUUCCG